AGCUUAACCAGGUCGGAGUCUGACAGUGUCUUGGACUGAAAAUCCGUGUGUCGGCAGUUCGAUUCUGCCCCUGGCCACCA
Molecule: transfer RNA, 80 nt
Filed under: Sideroxyarcus sp.
Lineage: Bacteria; Pseudomonadati; Pseudomonadota; Betaproteobacteria; Nitrosomonadales; Gallionellaceae
Description: tRNA-Phe
Source: RNAcentral